GGCCGGUUAGCUCAGUCCCUUAGAGCAUGGUGCUGAUAACACCAAUGUCACGGGUUCGAUACCCGUUCGGUCC
RNAcentral lists this transfer RNA (73 nucleotides) under Apaloderma vittatum (bar-tailed trogon). It matches the Rfam family "tRNA". Rfam says of the family: Transfer RNA (tRNA) molecules are approximately 80 nucleotides in length. Their secondary structure includes four short double-helical elements and three loops (D, anti-codon, and T loops). Lineage: Eukaryota; Metazoa; Chordata; Aves; Trogoniformes; Trogonidae. The record is from Rfam by way of RNAcentral.